This 73-nucleotide transfer RNA is filed under the name Ixodes scapularis (black-legged tick). It matches the Rfam family "tRNA". Rfam says of the family: Transfer RNA (tRNA) molecules are approximately 80 nucleotides in length. Their secondary structure includes four short double-helical elements and three loops (D, anti-codon, and T loops). Lineage: Eukaryota; Metazoa; Arthropoda; Arachnida; Ixodida; Ixodidae. The record is from Rfam by way of RNAcentral.
UCCUGGUUAGCCCAGUUGGCAGAGCGCUUCCCUGAAAAUGGAGAGGUCCCUGUUUCAAUACCAGGAUCAGGCG